RNAcentral lists this ribosomal RNA (119 nucleotides) under Periophthalmus magnuspinnatus. Lineage: Eukaryota; Metazoa; Chordata; Actinopteri; Gobiiformes; Gobiidae. The record is from RNAcentral.
CUUACUUCCUAUUCAGAUAUGUGUCACAACCCUUUUCCAUCCAGAUCUCAGAAGCUAAGCAGUGCUGGGGCUUGUUAGUACUUGGAUGGGAGACCACUGGGAAUACAAUGGAAAAAACG